Astatotilapia calliptera (eastern happy) is the source of this 1674-nucleotide long non-coding RNA. Lineage: Eukaryota; Metazoa; Chordata; Actinopteri; Cichliformes; Cichlidae. The record is from Ensembl.
GGUUCAAAUGUGCCCAAAAAUUAAGGUUAAUAGGUUACGAUCUGCGCACAUUGCAUUCACUGUGCUUGUUGCUUGCUAAAGGUUGCCUAAAAUACCUAACAGAAUGACAAGUCCCAUGUUGAUGCUGUAUCUGAAUGCCACUCAAGCAAGUGGAGUAGUUUCCCUGCUUAGCUUCAGCCUCAUAUCUUUAAAAUAAAAUAUGCAUUCACAAGUUAUUUCAUUAGGUUCACCUGCUUGAUAAUGCAAAUAUUGAAUUAGCCAGCCAGUCAGUGUGAUAUAAGAACAUGGCAAAGGAUCAGUCUGUUCGUGUCAGACAGAAACUAUUGAUCUACUGGGAUUUUUACGGCACAGCCAUCACUAGGGUUUACAGAGAAUGGUAGCAGUUCUCUGCCUGAAAAUGCUUUGCUGAUGCCAAAGGUCAGAGAAGAAUUGUCAGACUACUGUGAGCUGAUAGUAAGCUGAUAUUAAGGCAAGAGUAGCUCACAUAACCACUCAUGACAAAUCUUCAAGUAAAUGGUCUACAGUGACAGAAGCAGGGUGCCAUUCCUGUCAGUUAAAAAUAGUAAACUGAGAUAUGUGGAGAAGUUGUCAUUUACUGAAGUAUGAUGUAAUACUGCUUUUAUAUCUGUUUGGGUUUUUCUCUCUUUCUUUCUUUAAAGCCACCUACUAUCUGUAUCAAGCCAAAAAGAACUGCGCACAAUGCAGCCCCCCCUUUUAUUUAUGUAUUUAUUUUAUUCUAUUUUUGUUUGUUUGUUUUUUUUGGGUGGGUUUUGUUUUUUGGUUUGUUUUUUUUUUCUUUUUGUUUGUUUGUUGUUGUUUUUUUUGCCUUGUUCACAUGAUAGUACUUUUUUGUAUGUGCCCAUAGAUUACACGUUUUCCUGCAUGCCAAGUUUCACAAUGGCAGUGUUUGUAAUCGCAAUUCGAGUUAUAUUUUUCUGUACUUUUGUCAUAUUGGAAAAUUAUAAAUAAAGUUGUCAAAAAAAAAUAGUGAACUGAGGCUCGAAUUUGUGCAUGCUCACCAAAAUUGGACAUUAGAAAACUGGAAAACAUUGCCUGAGUCUUAAUUUAUGCUGCAACAUAAAGCGUCCUGGAUCCAUUCUGCUUUGUAUCAACUGUUCAGGCUGGGGAUGGUAGCGAUGCAAUGGUGUGGAGUGUGUUGUGGUCUGAAUGUGAACCAAAAUCUACGAAGAAUGUUUCCAGUACCUUGAGGAAUCUAUACUAUAGAGAGUUAAGGCAGUUCUCAAGGCAAAAGACAAUCAAAGUUGGUUAAACAAAGGUGUAACUAAUGAGGUGGUUGAUAAGUUUACGUUAGAUCCAUCCAUUUUUGUCUGCUUAUCGAAUUCAGGGUCAUGGGGUGGCUUAAGCCUAUCCCACCUGUCAAAGGGCAAGCCACCAAUUUGUUGCACAAAGAGACAGACAACCAUCAUUCUGUGGUCGAUUUAAAAUCACCAGUUAAUGUAAUGGCGUCGUUGGACUGGAAGGUGUUGCCAGAGAGAGCCCACACAGACACUGGGAGAUCAUGCAAACUCCACUGUAAAGGGACCCAGAUGGAAAGGUCUUGCUCUGAGGUGACAGUGCUAACCAUCACACCACCAUGCCAGCUCCAUGUUAGAUCAAAAUGUCAAAAUUUAUGUGGAAUGUCAGAAUUAAAUUAAAGUUCAGAACGAUUUGUUG